AAGUUUUUCUCGAUAAUAUACAAUAGUACAAUUCUGUCUUUCAUGAAAAAAUGUUAUAACAGAAAACUACACACUUUCCAUCUAUUUGUUUUUAUUUGUUAUUAUUUAUUACUGACACGGUCAAAACUAAAAAAUAUUAUGGGUAAAAAAUGACACGAGCAACGCUGGACGGAACAGCUAGUAUAUAUAUAAAUGUUUUACAUCUUAAUGUAGAUAAUAACACUGCAAACGUACCAUGAACACAAAGACUCGAAAUUGUAUAGUGUAUACAUAUAUAUUUUAUUAUUGCUGUAAUGACUAUAGCUAUAAGGUAGAUUUUUUUAGAGGAAAUUUUACCUGGAUGGUACUUUAAGCCACGUUUGGGAACCGAACCGCUCGUGAAGUGUUUGUGUCUAUGUCCAUUAAUGCUAAUUAUAUACUUGCGAUUUGUUCACGAACCAAUACCGACAAUGAACCAACAACUAACAAAUUACACUAGGUUCACGUUUGACACGCCGCCGUCUCAAUUAUUGUUUCUAUCGGUUCACGAUAGGUUCAGUUUGCACAUGUAUAUGCAGCUUUAAGUUGGUCGUUUUUUUGAUUUUUUUAGCGGUUUUCAUAAUAAAUUUCAAAAAACGUAAAAUAAACGAAAACAUUUACGAAAUGUAUUAUUUUCAAUUUGGUUUUUUUAUUAUGAUCCAAUUUAAAAUAUUUGUAUAGACUUGAAAUUUGGAA
Molecule: non-coding RNA, 714 nt
Organism: Cinara cedri
Lineage: Eukaryota; Metazoa; Arthropoda; Insecta; Hemiptera; Aphididae
Source: the annotation of a GenBank genome assembly